RNAcentral lists this ribosomal RNA (284 nucleotides) under uncultured bacterium. Its description in RNAcentral is "partial 16S ribosomal RNA". It matches the Rfam family "Bacterial small subunit ribosomal RNA", at positions 771 to 1057 of the family's 1533-position model. The record is from RNAcentral.
AACAGGAUUAGAUACCCUGGUAGUCCAUGCCGUAAACGUUGGGCACUAGGUGUGGGACCAUUCCACGGUUUCCGCGCCGCAGCUAACGCAUUAAGUGCCCCGCCUGGGGAGUACGGCCGCAAGGCUAAAACUCAAAGGAAUUUGACGGGGGCCCGCACAAGCGGCGGAGCAUGCGGAUUAAUUCGAUGCAACGCGAAGAACCUUACCUGGUCUUGACAUCCCGGAGUUUCAGAGAUGAGAUGUGCCUUCGGGAACCGUGAACAGGUGCUGCAUGGCUGUCGUCA